CAGUAGCCACGGUAAUACGAAGGGUGCAAGCGUUACUCGGAAUUACUGGGCGUAAAGCGUGCGUAGGUGGUGGUUUAAGUCCGUUGUGAAAGCUCUGGGCUCAACCUGGGAAUUGCAGUGGAUACUGGGUCACUAGAGUGUGGUAGAGGAUAGUGGAAUUUCCGGUGUAGCAGUGAAAUGCGUAGAGAUCGGAAGGAACAUCUGUGGCGAAGGCGACUAUCUGGGCCAACACUGACACUGAGGCACGAAAGCGUGGGGAGCAAACAGGAUUAGAUACCCCAGUAGUCCCUGUCUCUUAUAC
Molecule: ribosomal RNA, 301 nt
Filed under: uncultured bacterium
Lineage: Bacteria
Description: partial 16S ribosomal RNA
Rfam family: Bacterial small subunit ribosomal RNA
Source: RNAcentral